UGUGAAGGUUCUAGCGUAUAUCUAAAUAUAUUAGAUAGAAUAUUAUGUAAUUGAUUUGUAUUGAUUUCCUUUCCUUUUUGGACAUGUAAACUUAGCUAUUUAAACCCAAUAGCUUGAGGGAAUAAUCAAGCUGAGUUCACUCUCAUUUCUCUUCCGAUUCACACUGUGAAAAACUUUUUCACAUUCUUGUUUUCCUCACAGGUUGUCUUUAAAUUUUGAUGGAAUGUAUCUUCAUAAAAAUUAAGUAGUGGGUGUAACUGUUACAUGGAGAUGUGACUGAUUAGUAAAUGCAUUGUAGUGGCGUAACUUUAGGGGCAAGUAUUAAUAGGUGGUAGGUUUUGGUGCAGGGAGAUACUUGUCUUUCCUUUUGCUCUUUUGACUCAAAGCUUGAUGAUCUGGAGCACUUCCCCUUGCGCUUCUGUUUUUAUGGAAACUGGAAGCAUCAUUCCUAGUUUCCUUUUCCAGAAUUAAUCAGGUUGUGUAUUUUCAUAAAAGUCAAUGUGAAGAGAAUAGAAUGGGAUUUGUAUUAACUGGUGGAGCUCUGCUUUUUCCUUGUCUUGUUUUCAUUUUUUUUUUUCAUUUGUACUAAAUUUAACUUAAGCACUAGAUAAAUAGGUUUAUCAGUCCUUUUAAUGAUGACACAAAGCUGAAGGUGAAGGAGAAUAGAAUGAGAUUAUUUAUACUUGGCAGAGAUUAUGGAACACUUUGUGGAGUUUAGGCUUUAGAUUUAUUUUUACGUUUAACUUAUCGACUGGUCAAUUGGGUUCAUCAGUCAUUUUGUGUGAAGUUGAGUAUGGUAAUUGCAGAUAUCUUUGUGGCUGGUAUUAGUUCGAUCCAGCCUUCUUAUUCUGUUUGGUUUUCUGUCCAAACUUAGCACUAAAAUGAGCUUUUGUUGUUGUAGCAAAAGGCUUACUUUGUAUAGCUGUUUGUAAGAGCAUCAAUGACACCAGCUAUAAAGAUCUUGGUUAUGUAAUUUAUAGGCGAGUCUUGCGUUAUUACUCUGGAGAGGAGGAUGGGUUGGAUAUGAAAAAGGCUUUACCGUAAGACGUUCAAAAGAAGUCUAUCAUUCCCCUCAAUCGACCAGUUACUCCUGAUCAAUUGAAGUAUGACUGAUUCAGUUUAAACGUACUCUUGUCCUAGAAUUUAUUGCAAAAUGUGUUACCUUGCAUUUCUUUUCAAGAAGCCGAGGUUAGUUUAGGCAUCAUGAGUUGGCUUUUGUAAGGUCAUUGUCAUCCAUUGUCAAAAUCUAAAGGUGUAUUGAACUGGGAGCAUUCAUUUUAGUGCUUUUCACAAAGGUGGAGAAUUCCAGUUAGAUCUAUUGAUGUUUUGAUCAUGAAA
This is a long non-coding RNA of Lycium barbarum (goji berry), 1338 nucleotides long. RefSeq lists it as uncharacterized. The transcript has 3 exons. NCBI's taxonomy places the organism in Eukaryota, Viridiplantae, Streptophyta, Magnoliopsida, Solanales, Solanaceae. The record is from RefSeq and is a predicted model, not a curated record.